RNAcentral lists this transfer RNA (134 nucleotides) under Crassvirales sp. RNAcentral describes it as "tRNA-OTHER". It matches the Rfam family "tRNA". From Rfam's summary of the family: Transfer RNA (tRNA) molecules are approximately 80 nucleotides in length. Their secondary structure includes four short double-helical elements and three loops (D, anti-codon, and T loops). The record is from RNAcentral. Lineage: Duplodnaviria; Heunggongvirae; Uroviricota; Caudoviricetes; Crassvirales.
GAGGAGUUAGCUCAGUUGGUUAGAGCACUUAAUGUUACUCUGUCAAAUGUUCCAUACAUUAAGUUGUUGGUGAUAGAUAGAGUUACUUCGGUCUGUCAAACCAGUGGUCAUAGGUUCGAGUCCUAUACUCCUCU